Long non-coding RNA from Drosophila pseudoobscura, 442 nucleotides. RefSeq lists it as uncharacterized. The record is from RefSeq and is a predicted model, not a curated record. The transcript has 2 exons. NCBI's taxonomy places the organism in Eukaryota, Metazoa, Arthropoda, Insecta, Diptera, Drosophilidae.
AUACUCUUCAAUUGAAUACUUCAGUACUCAAACGUAGACACUACACAAUACACACAAAAUAAUAUUAUUCCCAAGAAAUACAUUCCGUAAAACAAAACAGUCGGAUGGAACUUGCAUCCAUAAGGAAUGCACGGAUCAUUUGUGGCAUCGAAUUAUGCGGAUGGCACUGGAACACAAAUAGUAAUAAUAUAUAGAAGAACAAUAUAGAGUAUACUCUGGUGAUGUGUGGCAUCAAAACAUGUUGAGCUUCCAUUUUCUCGUGCAGCAGACCCUCGCUCCUCAAGAUCAUCUCGUUAUAAAUAGGGCCAGUGUUGGCAUCGUCUUUGGUGAGGUUGUCCAUCACAUGUAGCGAGAUCCAUCAUUAGGCCGCAGCUGGAUAAAGCGUUGAUAAAGCUUGCGCGAAUCUAUAUUGGAUGAAAUAAAAGACGAAAAUGUGAAAAUA